UCCGAAUUGGUGUAGUGGCUAACAUUUGACGCUCUCAUCUGCCGUCUUGCCCCUCUUAUCAGAGGUUAAGCAGUAGUACUAGUACCGUCAAGCCCGGGGUUCGAUUCCCCGAUUCGGAG
This is a non-coding RNA of Xylaria longipes, 119 nucleotides long. The record is from the annotation of a GenBank genome assembly. Lineage: Eukaryota; Fungi; Ascomycota; Sordariomycetes; Xylariales; Xylariaceae.